AACCUUAUGUUGGUUAAUGCUACACCAACAUGACAGGCCUAAUCUUUGGAGUAAAACAUGAGCGAUAAAAUUAUUCACCUGACUGAC
This 87-nucleotide small RNA is filed under the name Cronobacter sakazakii. RNAcentral's name for it is "TrxA 5' UTR thermometer". It matches the Rfam family "TrxA 5' UTR thermometer". From Rfam's summary of the family: Involved in protection against oxidative stress. The record is from RNAcentral. Lineage: Bacteria; Pseudomonadati; Pseudomonadota; Gammaproteobacteria; Enterobacterales; Enterobacteriaceae. RNAcentral also lists the same sequence under 2 other names.